GGUUCUUAAUUCAGUGGUAGAGCACCUGUUUUGCAUUCAGAAGGUCUCAGAUUUGAACCCUGGCAUCUCCA
Molecule: non-coding RNA, 71 nt
Organism: Podarcis lilfordi (Lilford's wall lizard)
Lineage: Eukaryota; Metazoa; Chordata; Lepidosauria; Squamata; Lacertidae
Source: the annotation of a GenBank genome assembly